This 229-nucleotide unclassified non-coding RNA is filed under the name plant metagenome. RNAcentral describes it as "partial contains small subunit ribosomal RNA, internal transcribed spacer 1, and 5.8S ribosomal RNA". The record is from RNAcentral.
UCUCCGUAGGUGAACCUGCGGAGGGAUCAUUACAGAGUUCAUGCCCUACCGGGUAGAUCUCCCACCCUAUGUUAUUAUUACUUUGUUGCUUUGGUGGGCCGUUAGGCUCCGGCCCGACUACCGGCCCCGGCUGGUAAGCGCCCGCCAGAGGACCCAAAACCCUGAAUAUUAGUGUCGUCUGAGUACUAUAUAAUAGUUAAAACUUUCAACAACGGGUCUCUUGGUUCUG